CUACGGGAGGCAGCAGUGAGGGAUAUUGCACAAUGGGCGCAAGCCUGAUGCAGCGACGCCGCGUGAGUGAUGAAGGCCUUCGGGUCGUAAAACUCUUUUCUGUGUGACGAGCAAGGACGGUAGCACAGGAAUAAGUCUCGGCUAACUACGUGCCAGCAGCCGCGGUAAAACGUAGGAGACAAACGUUAUCCGGAGUUACUGGGCGUAAAGGGCGUGCAGGCGGUUCGAUAAGUCUGGCGUGAAAUCAUUCGGCUUAACCGGGUGAUGUCGUCGGAGACUGUCGGGCUAGAGGAUGAUAGAGGCGUGUGGAAUUCCGGGUGUAGUGGUGAAAUGCGUAGAGAUCCGGAGGAACACCAGUGGCGAAGGCGACACGCUGGGUCAUACCUGACGCUAAGACGCGACAGCAUGGGGAGCGAACGGGAUUAGAUACCCGUGUAGUCC
Molecule: ribosomal RNA, 441 nt
Filed under: uncultured bacterium
Lineage: Bacteria
Description: bacterial SSU rRNA
Rfam family: Bacterial small subunit ribosomal RNA
Source: RNAcentral